GAUGAACGCUCGCGAUAGGCUUAACACAUGCAAGUCGAGGGGCAGCAUGGUCUUAGCUUGCUAAGACUGAUGGCGACCGGCGCACGGGUGCGUAACGCGUAUGCAACUUGCCUCACAGAGGGGGAUAACCCGUCGAAAGACGGACUAAUACCGCGUACACUUGGGAUAGGGCAUCCUGACCCAAGGAAAUGAAAUUCGCUGUGAGAUAGGCAUGCGUCCCAUUAGCUAGUUGGUGAGGUAACGGCUCACCAAGGCGACGAUGGGUAGGGGAACUGAGAGGUUGAACCCCCACACUGGUACUGAGACACGGACCAGACUCCUACGGGAGGCAGCAGUGAGGAAUAUUGGUCAAUAGGCGAGAGCCUGAACCAGCCAAGUCGCGUGAAGGAUGACUGUCUUAUGGAUUGUAAACUUCUUUUAUACGGGAUAACAAGAGCCACGUGUGGCUCCCUGCAUGUACCGUAUGAAUAAGCAUCGGCUAACUCCGUG
This 489-nucleotide ribosomal RNA is filed under the name uncultured bacterium. Its description in RNAcentral is "partial 16S ribosomal RNA". It matches the Rfam family "Bacterial small subunit ribosomal RNA", at positions 28 to 507 of the family's 1533-position model. The record is from RNAcentral.